This 140-nucleotide ribosomal RNA is filed under the name uncultured bacterium. RNAcentral describes it as "partial 16S ribosomal RNA". It matches the Rfam family "Bacterial small subunit ribosomal RNA", at positions 355 to 509 of the family's 1533-position model. The record is from RNAcentral.
UGGGGAAUAUUGCACAAUGGGGGGAAACCCGUGAUGCAGCAACGCCGCGUGAAGGAAGACGGUUUUCGGAUUGUAAACUUCUGUUCUUAGUGAAGAAGAAUGACGGUAGCUAAGGAGCAAGCCACGGCUAACUACGUGCC